This 491-nucleotide ribosomal RNA is filed under the name uncultured bacterium. Its description in RNAcentral is "partial 16S ribosomal RNA". It matches the Rfam family "Bacterial small subunit ribosomal RNA", at positions 29 to 506 of the family's 1533-position model. The record is from RNAcentral.
AGUGAACGCUGGCGGUAGGCCUAACACAUGCAAGUCGAACGGCAGCACAGUAAGAGCUUGCUCUUACGGGUGGCGAGUGGCGGACGGGUGAGGAAUACAUCGGAAUCUACUUUUUCGUGGGGGAUAACGUAGGGAAACUUACGCUAAUACCGCAUACGACCUACGGGUGAAAGCAGGGGAUCUUCGGACCUUGCGCGAUUGAAUGAGCCGAUGUCGGAUUAGCUAGUUGGCGGGGUAAAGGCCCACGAAGGCGACGAUCCGUAGCUGGUCUGAGAGGAUGAUCAGCCACACUGGAACUGAGACACGGUCCAGACUCCUACGGGAGGCAGCAGUGGGGAAUAUUGGACAAUGGGCGCAAGCCUGAUCCAGCCAUACCGCGUGGGUGAAGAAGGCCUUCGGGUUGUAAAGCCCUUUUGUUGGGAAAGAAAAGCAGCAGGUUAAUACCCCGCUGUUCUGACGGUACCCAAAGAAUAAGCACCGGCUAACUUCGU